CACAGGCCAGUGGAAGCCCAGGGCAGGAGGAACCUCACCCGGUCUAGUAGGGAAGGCUUCCUGGAGUAGGUGAGGAAGUAUGCUCCGGAGGACAGAGGAAACGGCAGGAGCAAGAAUCAGGAGAUGACAACUGGAAUAGCAAAAUCCCUGGGUUUUUGAACUCUACAGGGACAGCCACAUUCAUCCCGGCUGUGGACUGAACUGUGUCCCCUUCAGAUGUCAUAUGUUGAAGCCCUUGCCCCCACUGUGACUGCAUUUGGAGACUGGGCCUAUCAGGAGAUAAGAGAUCACGUGGAGACACAGCAAGAAGGCAGCUGUCUGCAGCCAGGAAGACAGCCCUCAGCAGAACCUGCACCUGCCAGCACCAUGAUCUUGGACUCCCAGUCUCCAGAACUAUGAGAAAACAAAGUCUCACUCUGUCACCCAGGCUGGAGUGCAGUGGUGCCGUCAUAGUUCACUGAAGCCUCAACCUCCUGGGCUCAAGUGAUCCUCCCACCUCAACCUCCCAAGUAGCUAGGACCACAGAUUGUGGUUGUUUCAAAGUUUUUGCUAUUAUAAUUGGCCCUACAGGGAACACACUUGGAGCUGAAUCUUUACUCACUUAAUUAUUACCUUGGAAUAAAUUACUACAACUAGAAUUGUUGGUUCAAAAGAGGCUCCCAGCUUCUCCUUAAUGACUGAUAAAAGCUCUGAGUGUACCUGCUUUCCUGAGCGGGGCCCAGCUGCGCUCGGCACCCUCUCUGGUUGCUAUGCAGAUGUGCCAGUGGCGGGCCCAGUCGCCAUGGCCACAGAUGCCCGGGUCUCAGCGAGGAGCAGCGUGGGGAGUGGUUGCCAUGGCAAUGCUACCCAAGCAGGGCCUGGCUCCCCUCCCACUCUGCAGAGGCUGGGCUGUGGGGCUGCGCACCCAGGCAGAGGCUUCUCAAGCUGCAGAAAAGGAGGUGAGCAGAAGUUUGAAUAUUUCAUCCCUGAAUGUGGAGACGCAUGAUAAGAUUAAAAGACAAAGCCGCUCAUCGCAAAACUGAAAAGUUAUGUCCCAUGGCCAGACCAGACAAUGCGCUAAAUGAACAUUUUUGUUAAUAAUAUUGCAAUUAUCUUGUGAUUUGUACAAUUGUGGUGCAUUAUUUGUUUAAAGUACUAACUUAUUAAAGUAACCACUUAAAAUAUAGAUCAAUUUCUU
Molecule: long non-coding RNA, 1177 nt
Organism: Pan troglodytes (chimpanzee)
Lineage: Eukaryota; Metazoa; Chordata; Mammalia; Primates; Hominidae
Exons: 5
Source: RefSeq, a predicted model, not a curated record